Doryrhamphus excisus (bluestripe pipefish) is the source of this 1467-nucleotide non-coding RNA. Lineage: Eukaryota; Metazoa; Chordata; Actinopteri; Syngnathiformes; Syngnathidae. The record is from RefSeq and is a predicted model, not a curated record.
UUUAGUACUGAUGGAGUGUACCUAAUGUUAUCGUCGAUGUUUACAUGACCAACCGGUUAAAUUAGCCACUAAAGCAAUUCCAAAUUUUACUCUAUUUAGACAAUAUGUUUAUAAAACUUAGUUGCUUUUAAGCGCGCCAAACGAUUACUGUGCGACCCGCCGGUUGCCUGUUUACUGCUAAGCUAAGCUAACUAUGCUAGCUAUGUCCUACAUUUAGCUUACCGGGUGACUUGCUAACCAUUCAAUAGUGGUUUUAUUAAAGAUACGGAGCUAGUAUUGUAAUAACGUUGUUAUUCCAUUCUGACAAUCGUAGGUUAAGUGGGCGUUAGAAUGUAAGCUACCGUUAGCGGGGAGGUUAGCAUGACAAUAAUGCAGAAAAAGGCAGCAGCUCGAACAGGCUUAGCGGCCCUGUUGUAGCCGCCAAUCUUGACGUCUUCGAGCUUUUUUUUUCCCUGCUGCAAUAAAACGUCAACACAAUGGAAGCAACGCAGCUUUCACAACACGGCUGCUGUCAACAUGCAGACAACUGCAUCUUUCCAGUCCAAAACGCUGCCGGGUUCCAUGAUGCGGCUGCGCCAGGGCUGAAAUAGAUGGAGAUUGCGCGGUAGGGUCCUUACCUCAGAGCGGCUGCGCUGCUUCGGGCCUGCGCGGAGCUGACAACAAUGGAGGACAACACAGGCUGGAGGUCGUGUCCAAACAACAAGUCUUUUUUAUUUCCGAGCCGUUUACUAAAACGGUAAAUGGGUGUGAGGAGACAUACUUGGCCACUGCAUCGUCUUCCUUGGCGAGGCACUUGAUCAUCUUGGAGUCGCAGCACCUGGACUCAUCUGUUUCCCCGGCAUUAUGCAAAUAUCUACAUUGAACAUCUCCAGGGAGGGCGAGAGCCGGCAAACAUGGCAAUUAAGCGGCGGACGCUGUGCAACAUACAUCAUCUUGUCACGCACAAGUGGACGUCAUAACGCCAAAUAGCGCCUGGACUCAUCUGCAGCACAGAGACCCCUAGCGACUCCGAGGUCCUGGAGGUGCCUGGAUGCGCAACCCGCAGAUGUGUCAAGAUAAGAACUCAUAAAACAAUAAAGACCCAGUAUCUUCCUGAGAAGGCGGUGCCACGAGGCGCACCUGCAGCCAUAUUACCAUUUGGGGUAUUUAGCCACCCGACGACAGGAGAGGAGGACGUGGGAUCGUACUACUUUGCCUGAAUGCUGCCACGCUGUUCUUUUUAGUUCCUGUUCCUGCUUCCACUCCCAAGAUUUGCCCAUCCUUCUGAUGCCCCAUGACAUAGCCUCGGUCAAGUGGACAUUUGCUUUUUUACCUGCAAGGACCCCCGACCCAUGAGGAUGGUGGAGGUUUCCACUAUAUUCUGCAGCAGGAAAGUGCAGUUGAAGCAAGCUGAAAAACAACACAAAUACGAAAAGCGAACCCCUUACCAUUUUUCUGAAAAUCAAAAAUUUUUUUUGCAUUUUUUGG